GGGCCGUGUCUCAGUCCCAGUGUGGCUGGUCGUCCUCUCAGACCAGCUACAGAUCGUCGGCUUGGUAAGCUUUUAUCCCACCAACUACCUAAUCUGCCAUCGGCCGCUCCGUUCGCGCAAGGCCUUGCGGUCCCCUGCUUUCAUCCGUAGAUCGUAUGCGGUAUUAGCAAAGCUUUCGCUUCGUUAUCCCCCACGAUCGGGCACGUUCCGAUGUAUUACUCACCCGUUCGCCACUCGUCAGCAUCCAAAGACCUGUUACCGUUCGACUUGCAUGUGUAAGGCAUGCCGCCAGCGUUCAAUCUGAGCCAGGAUCAAAC
This 317-nucleotide ribosomal RNA is filed under the name Anophryoides haemophila. RNAcentral's name for it is "partial Bacterial small subunit ribosomal RNA". The record is from RNAcentral. Lineage: Eukaryota; Ciliophora; Oligohymenophorea; Philasterida; Glauconematidae.